UACAUGCUUAGUUUUGUCCAAAUUACUCGUUUUCAUAAACAUAUAAUUAUAUAUGUAGAUUACCAAAAUCUCUUAAAUUUUGCCUUUGCAGUUGUUUUCUAAUAUCUGGGAAAAUGUACCUUUUUCAAUAACAAACGGGUUGAAUUUAUGCUACUAUAUUUAAAGAAGAUGUAUGGGGGAUGGGUUGGGUUUCUUGUAUUUGAUAUGCAACAUUUUGUUUAAGUCCAUUAGUAGACAGGUGGAUGAUGUAGUGGUAUAGUAUAGUAUUGUUGGCCUCUAGGGAUUUUUAACUAUGAAAGAUAUUUUUGUAAUCUUUUUUUUUUUCUCUAGCUAUAUAAAGGAACAUUCCUAGACUGUAAUGUGGUUGUUCCUUUAUCCUUCAUAGUGAAACACAUUUGGCUCUAUGGACAUAACAUCGUUUAAAAACAGGUAUUUGUCAAGUUCUCAUGGCAUUGAUUAUAUUGGAUUGUGGUACUUGAACUUUUUCUUAAGUAAGAAUUAA
Molecule: unclassified non-coding RNA, 502 nt
Filed under: Hevea brasiliensis (rubber tree)
Lineage: Eukaryota; Viridiplantae; Streptophyta; Magnoliopsida; Malpighiales; Euphorbiaceae
Source: RNAcentral